UCCUGAGCCAAUGUGGGCUCCACCACAUA
This 29-nucleotide small RNA is filed under the name Bombyx mori (domestic silkworm). RNAcentral's name for it is "ovarian small RNA-27906". Lineage: Eukaryota; Metazoa; Arthropoda; Insecta; Lepidoptera; Bombycidae. The record is from RNAcentral.